AUUGAACGCUGGCGGCAGGCCUAACACAUGCAAGUCGAGCGGAGCGGCGGACGGGUGAGUAAUGCCUAGUAAUCUGCCUGGUAGUGGGGGAUAACGUCCGGCAACGGGCGCUAAUACCGCAUACUAUCAGAUGAGCCUAGGUCGGAUUAUCUAGUUGGUGGGGUAAAGUCCUACAAAGGCGACGAUCCGUAACUGGUUUGAGAGGAUGAUCAGUCACACUGGAACUGGGACACGGUCCAGACUCCUACGGGAGGCAGCAGUGGGGAAUAUUGGACAAGUGGCGAAAGCAGGAUCCAGCCAUGCCGGGUGUGUGAAGAAGGUCUUCGGAUUGUAAAGCACUUUAAGUUGGGAGGCGUUACCAAAAGAAUAAGCACCGGCUAACUUCGUGCCAGCAGCCGCGGUAAGAC
This 407-nucleotide ribosomal RNA is filed under the name uncultured bacterium. RNAcentral's name for it is "partial 16S ribosomal RNA". It matches the Rfam family "Bacterial small subunit ribosomal RNA", at positions 30 to 526 of the family's 1533-position model. The record is from RNAcentral.